Molecule: long non-coding RNA, 2028 nt
Filed under: Bemisia tabaci
Lineage: Eukaryota; Metazoa; Arthropoda; Insecta; Hemiptera; Aleyrodidae
Description: lncRNA ENSSSA1UGG008625
Source: RNAcentral
AGCGCUACAAAAAAAAGAAAAGAAAAGUAAAGAAACUAUUUUCUCUAUGGGAACUUCACUGACCCACUGACCGACCGGUCACUAUGGAAUUAGGGUGACCGACUGACCGCCUUACCGAUAUCAAUUAGAAUUUAUCAGCGAGAUAGAUCAUUUUUUUUUUUUUUUAGCUCGUGAAAUUUUUAGGGGGAAUUUUUUAAGAUUGGGCCGGAGUGGCUACCGCCACCUGGAAUUGUGCCCUCUGCCGAUUUUUGUUGUUUUUCCCCCUUUCUAUGGAGUAUUAUCCCGGCCCAGAGUGGCAUGAAACGUAAGAAAGAAAUGAAAUGUUGGAAAUUUCAGUGAAAUAUUUUAUGAAAUUUCACGAGGCUGUGAAAUAAUUCAUAUUUUCCAGGGGCUGGAGUAUGCAACCCGCACUCAAACAAACAAAAAUAAAAAGAAAUUUACAAUUUCUACAUUUUACUUAACAAGGAAAGGAACCGGCAUUUUUCAAUCUUUCAUAAAUUUCUGGAUUUUCAUGAAAUAUUUUACGUGCAUGAAAUUUCAAGAUUUUAUUUUCUAUGUCUCCCUCUCGUGAAACUACCAAGCCAAAUCUUUACCCCCUGCCUAAUCAUGCGACCAGCGGUCCGAAACCUCAACCCCCCCCCCCCUUCUCGAAAGAGCUUACACAAUUAUUAUGCUAACUUGACAAUGACGCAAAACGUUGAGCGGAGAAAGAUCAGCUGACUCUCAAUCAACGCAGCGUUGCCUAUGUUGAACAGGUUAACCGCAUGGGUGCAAACGUGCACAUAUCAUUAAUUUAAUCAAAUUUCUUAAGCUAAAUGUGGCAACUUACAAACAAAAUGUGAACUUGCACACCUAACCUAGAUCGUGUGCCGGUCUGUUUACAUGUUUACAUCGAGGUUCUUUCGUCGAAGUUAUUGGGAUUUCUUAGGAAUCAAAAGGAUAAAAUUGAAGGAUUUGUGAUCCUUGAAAUUGGGAAGAAUCUGUGUUCAUUUCAAAUGUGUGAUAAGGCGAAGCAUGCACCUACUGCAGAAGUUGAAGGAUUUGUUAGGACCAUCCUUAGCUCUAGCGAUGAUCAGGCCAAAUAUGCGACCCCUUCCUGCUGUUCCCUGCCAAAGUUGCAUGAAAAAAAUAGGAGUCAACAUGAAAAGAAAGGAACAGAGUAAGUAAGGUGAUCAACAUUUUUAAUUAUUUUUACAUACCUUUUGGUUUCCAGUUGUACUUAAUUUAUGUUUUAAUUUGAUCCACUUAAUUUAGGUAAAUAAGAAUAUAAAUGAAAAAAUGUAAAAAAAUGAAAAAGUAUGUGGUCACUAACUGGUUGUCCUCUGAAUUUUCAUGGAUAGUACUUUGAAAAGUUCUGCAUCAUAAAAACAUAAUCAAGAAGCAGUAAGGAAAAUGUGUUUAUGCUAAAUGCUAAAUUGCUAAAUUUGGGCUUUUAAAAUGCCCACUUACCUUCACUUUAAAGUUGAUGCGAAGAGUACAGUUCUAGAGUAAUUAGACAUUGUAAAUUUGAAGAAAAUUCCUCCCUCCAAUGAGUAUUUUCCUGCUUGAAGAAGAAGGAACAGCGCAUUUUGUGUGACAGGAUGAAACAGUAUGGACAGUAUGAUUCUACAUUAUGUGUGAUUGAUAUGCUGAAGGAAAAGCUCUCGCUUAAAAUUUAUGAAAAGAAUAGGUCAGUUUAACUUGAAAUAUUCAGUUAUAACUAUCAAAAUUCAGAAAUUUUUACAAUUCAUUUUGUGUGUGACUCUGGUAAAUAAUGAUUAUUUCUUUAAUUUUUUAGGCCAGUGACGAUGCAAUUUUUCUAAAAAUCACUACUUGAUCCUUGAAUUCUUGGAAUUUGUUUAUUCUUGCACCGAGCGAAGAAUGCCUCAUAGUGUGGAAUAUUUUGGAAGACCAUGUGCAAAGAAGGUACAGAUUAUACUUAUUUUUUGGCAUGCUGAAAUAGAUAAGAACAUUUGUGAGAGGCUUCACGGGAAAAAAAAGGUUAAAAAAGUUUUGAUUGGUACGUUUUGAAUAAAACAAAAAAAAAAU